CCUAAGGGCACCUUUGGUAGCCGAGGAUCCCAGGAGAAUACCGACCCAUUCCCUGCCUUCCAAACCCACGCGCUAAAUUAUCACAGAGCGAGAAAAAAAUUAUGUUUGGUGACCCAACUCCCCGGCCCAAUCCGUGGGAGAGAACAGGGCUUUCGCCCCCGGCCUCACAAGGUCGGGAAGGGUUUCCUCGAGCUCACCCUCUCCACUCGUGCACCCGCCGCCACUUCCUUUCUCUCGCGCACCCGACGUCGCAUCCUCUCUCGUGCAGUUGGGGCCAGCUGUUGGGCCGAGGUCGACGACGGGGUCGACCUCUCCGUGGAGACAGCCAAGGCGGCCGUGAGCCACGCCGCCACGAGCCACCACGAGCACGACGGCGAGCUCAGCGAUCUGGAGUCGGAUCUGGUGGGGCGGCAGAAGACUGGCUGCUCGUCGUCGCCGGCGGCAACAACGCCGGCUGCAGAGCUGAUCGUGCCGCCAGCACAGCAGAUCUAGCAAUUCCAGGUGGUACAAAAGGGUUUUUCAUCAACAAGUGGUCACCAAAAGAAGAACUGAAACAUCAAGAUGGUGUUUGCUUCUACGUUUUACCAUUGAGGAUAUGAUGGUAAACUGAAGUCAUGUAUUAUGCUAUGCAUUCAGAAGAUGAUGCUAAACUGAAUAAGCACAUUAAUCUGAUUUUUCUAUGCAUUGAGACUAUGUUUGUAUUAUUGUUAUGCAAUGCAAUCUAUGCACUAAAACGUUCAACUCUGUUUGAUCUGGAUGACAUAUUCAGAAUUAUAAUACGUUGCUGCCAA
This is a long non-coding RNA of Zea mays, 791 nucleotides long. RefSeq lists it as uncharacterized. The record is from RefSeq and is a predicted model, not a curated record. Lineage: Eukaryota; Viridiplantae; Streptophyta; Magnoliopsida; Poales; Poaceae. The transcript has 2 exons.